UAGGUUUGCAAAUCCUGUACGCCUGCCUAUAUUCAUAAUGUCCCUUCGGGGACUAUGGACAUAAACGCGCUCGUAAUAAGCGGAUCGGACCCGGGGGCGGUACCCGGCGACUCCACCAAUCACCCUUCAUUUGGGGGCGGAUCGGGGUCGAAACAGGAUCGACGAACGUCUAAAGGGGUUAUGCUUUGUCUCGGCGGGGUGCCACCGUAUCGGCCCGAACAGUACAAUUGCAAAUGACAAUCGUGCUCCGGUUGCUCUGGCCGCGUAAGCGGUUCGAGGAAUCGAAACCUAAGUCCUUGCGCCUAGCAGCGUAAGGCGGGGUCCGCAGGCACCUGGCAACAGAAGCCUGCACU
Molecule: non-coding RNA, 353 nt
Organism: Roseovarius nanhaiticus
Lineage: Bacteria; Pseudomonadati; Pseudomonadota; Alphaproteobacteria; Rhodobacterales; Roseobacteraceae
Rfam family: Alphaproteobacteria transfer-messenger RNA
About the family: Bacterial tmRNA, also known as 10Sa RNA or SsrA, is named for its dual tRNA and mRNA-like properties.
Source: Rfam